Molecule: small nuclear RNA, 108 nt
Organism: Gracilinanus agilis (Agile Gracile Mouse Opossum)
Lineage: Eukaryota; Metazoa; Chordata; Mammalia; Didelphimorphia; Didelphidae
Source: RefSeq, a predicted model, not a curated record
GUGCCCAUUUUGGCAGCAUAUGUACUAAAAUUGGGAUGAUACUGAGAAGAUAAGAAUGGUUCCUGCACAAGGAUGGCAUGAAAAUUUAUUGUAUUCCAUAAAAAAAAU